GACGAACGCUGGCGGCGUGCUUAAUACAUGCAAGUCGAGCGGACAGACCCUGAGCUUGCUCCGCGGACGUGAGCCGCGGGCGGGUGAGACACACGUGUAAAACCUACCUAUAAUUCUGGGAUCACUUCGGGAAACCGGCGCUAAUACCGGAUAAUAUAUUGCACCGCGUGGUUCAAUAGUGAGAUACGGCUUUGCUGGAUCUUAUAGAUGGAUCCGCGCCGCAUUAGAUAGUUGGUGAGGUAACAGCUUACCAAGGCGACGAUGCGUAAACGACCUGAGAGGGGGGUCGGCCGCACUGGAGCUGGGACGCGGUCCAGACUCCUGCGGGAGGCAGCAGUAGGGAAUCUUCCGCAAUGGGCGAAAGCCUGACGGAGCAACGCCGCGCGAGAGAUGACGGUCUUCGGAGCGGAAAGCUCUGUUAUGAGGUAUAAACCGAUGUGUAAGUAACUAUGCACGUCUUGACGGUACCUAAUCAGAAAGCAACGGCUAACUACGUG
This 497-nucleotide ribosomal RNA is filed under the name uncultured bacterium. RNAcentral describes it as "partial 16S ribosomal RNA". It matches the Rfam family "Bacterial small subunit ribosomal RNA", at positions 28 to 507 of the family's 1533-position model. The record is from RNAcentral.